UUGUGGGUGGAUGUAAUAAAGUUUCAUAAUCCUGAUGGGCUGAUAGUAACCAGGAUGAACUUAACACAAGAAGAGGCAGAUGGAUGGUACCUACGCCUCCUUUGCUAGUUCUGUCAGGACACCUCUUGCCAUUGUUCAGCAGCCUCCAUUGCUCCCCUCUUCAAUGUCUGCAGGAUAGAUGCCACAACCUUCAUUGCAGCUCACCAGAUGAUUUCAUGGCACAUGGGGUGGCAAUCUGUCACACAGCCACAGAGAGCAUUGGCCAGCUUUCAUGCCCCAGGUUAAAAUGCCUAAGACCGUGAAAGUUUGGAUCCUAACUCCACCUGCUCCUUUAAAAAUCCUGAGCCAAACUUCAGGGAAGUACAGCUCAGAAAUGAGAAUUUGGGCUUCCAUUUUAUUGGGCUUCUUUUGUUACAGAUUUUAGCUCAGAAUACCAGAGAAAGACAAGAGAUCCAAGCCUUUCUGGGAUGCUCAAUUUCAAAGCUUAAACUCAUGGAGACUCCCUGAGCUACCUCGUGUGCUUUCUUUGAUGUCCUCUCUCCCUGCUCUUCGAUAUGGUAGUAAUACUUUUGUCUUCUCUUCCAUCUUCCCUUCCCUUUCCAGAAUAUUCAUUUCACUGUAUAUUUGACCCUAUAUCAUUUUAACAUCUGUGGUUAAAGUUUACCUAUAAAAGAAAUUCAAAAUACCAGGUUGGGCACCAAGCACUUCCAGGCACUCCUAAAGUUCAAGAGAAGACAGCCAUGUCUGUGAUCUGUGGUCUGGGUUAGUCUCAAAUGAAAACACUGACCUUGGUUUGAUGAUUUCACUCCUGUGUGGGUAAACAUCCAAACCCUCAUUUUGAAAAAGAAGGUUGUUUUUCUCAGAAGAAGGCUUUUCAUCCUUAGCAUGUGAUGUACCGCAUAGUGUCCAUGUACAGAGGUUAACGUAGAAGUCCUAACAGUUUUUCAGCUUGCUGAGUUAUAUGCCUCUGACUCAGUCCCACUGGAAAAAGCAGAGCCAAAGCAGCUUUCAAGGAAAGAUGCCAUUGUUAUUGUUCUCUAGUUCUCUUAUCAAUAUACAGGAUGUUGUUCCCAUCUGUCACCUUCUGCCCUGGAACUAAGAGUGAACUAUGCUCAUUACAGUGAGAUUACCAUUUGUAAGGUGGGUGGCCCGUGUAUGUAUCUCCAAUGCACUAUUAAAUCCUUGAAUUGGAGUGCAGCUGGGCUAAAAUGCUUAGCUUGUUCAAAGGCCAAGUGAGCUUACUUGCAAGGCAGUGAUGGUCCAAGAAUAGUUUAUUUUCUUCUGACUUCCCUUUCAGAUUCCUCAGUUUGCCGCCUAAGGUGAUAGGCCAGCUGAUACACAGACAUAUUUUAAUCAGUUACUUAAGGGAUGGCUUCAUGGUACAAGGUCUCUUUCCCAAUGCUGGAUGUCUACUCAGGAAGUGAAGCAAACAAAACCAUGUGAAUCUCAAACACUCCUGGGACUGGAGAAGGAGGGAGAGUCUCUUGCUUCUUUUUUGGAUCAGGGAGUAGUGCCCAGACACUGAAAAAAAGAGGCUCCCAUGGUGUACAAAAGCUUCACAGACAUGUGAAAGAAGCCAUCUGAUAUUUUAACAUUACUCUAAGAAAUAUGUUUAUGUACUUGUAAUGAGGAGGAAGUGCUGCUUCUUCAUACUGAAAUCCUGUAUAGGGUACAGUGGAUAAGAGUCUUUCUGGGACUGGUGUGACUGGGCUUCUCUAGGUGAGUGUUCACCUGUCUUCUCUACCAGGUCUUCCCAGAAGUAGGUCCAUUUUGAGGCAAUGUGCUUAGCGAAGGGGUUGAGCGCUGACUGACUGAACUGUACUGUGGCUUGAAGAAAGCAGAGGGAGGGAAGCAGUUUGUAUUCUGUAGGGUUUCUGGGUCAGUAGACCAAAGACAGGUCUUCUGUAUCUUUUUACAGCCUGUCUUGGCUUCCUUUUCUUGCCUGGUGAAGGAGGGCCUCCAUGUGCUUGAGGCUUGACUCCGAGCUCAAAGGCUGGGUUUGCAAAUGUCUUUCAGAUAUUAGCCAAAAAUGUUAGUCUGUGCAUGUGUACAGGGAGGUGUGGGGGAGGCAGCGUUGCUCCCUUGUGCAGUCACACAGAACAAGCCACAAUCUGGCGUGCUUUUGGUUAUUAAUAGCUAGAAUAUGGAAGUAGGGCAAAUAUCCAUCCUGAUUUAUCCUAACCUGAAUAAUCCAUAUAGUCUUGAGGCCAUAGAAUAGUGAUUCUGUCUCUAGCUGUCACUUUCCUGAAUUUUAGGAAGAGAUAUCUGUGACCAUUUUGUGUCACGAUGAUCAAUGUCACAUUAAAGAGAGAAGCCUGCAGGCAGGCGUGUGAGCUGUGUGAGUGCUGCCUGAUUAGGGAGACGCUGGGGUGGUGAUCCUGCUCCCUGUCACUCCACGAUGACAGAGACAACUAGACAAAAGACCCUGAGGGAGAGGUCACCCUGGCCUGAAGCUGCUCUGCUGAGGAGAGGGGGGUAGAGAAAGACACCGAGAGGCAGGCCACAGGAGGAGGAGAGGAGUCAAAGAGCCAUGAAGCAACACGGAAGGAGGCAGGGGGCGUUUGAUUCAGGAGCAGGGAGGGGGAGAAAAAGAGGCAGAGAUGUGCAGAAACGCGUAUCCAUACAGUUAACCAUUCCUAGGCAGGAAGCAUUUGUGUUCUGCUGAAGCACACACUGAUACAGGAAUAUCGGGCUGUUGAGAGUCCAGGAAUUAAAAUGGAGUGAUGAGACUAAGGAAAGGCUUCAUAGCAAUUCUGGAAGCCAGGCUUUUUUCUUGUUCUUGUUUCUAAAAAUAAUGAAUACAUUGAAUCUCGUAUUUUUAUUCCCUUCCCAGCUUGCAACAUGGUGUUUUUCACACCUAUUUUUGAAAUCACAGUAACUUUCUUGACCAAAUGUGCAGAUUUGCCAUUGUGGCCUACUUACAUUCCUAGUGUAUGAAGAGAAAGAAACAAAAGGCAUUAGCUGUGAUAAAUCCGGCAGAGAGAUGCCUGGAAAAUAAAUCAGAAGUCCUCAUUUGGUCAGGUUUCCCGCUGACUUCCACACAAACUGGCAUGAUUCUGGAGUGAAGCAUGUGAGCUUGAAGAAUAGGGUGCACAAUUGCAUCCUGUUAUUGUUCUGAGUGUUAUUCUGGUAACAAUUUUCUUUUUCUGGAUAGGCACACAAAAAAGCAAUAAAUAUUAUUGCUGAUUGCAUUUAGAAACUGCAGGCCUGUUUACUGGGAGUAAAACAAGUAUAUAGGGAAACAAAUCCUUGCCCAGAAGUAUUUAAAACCUAAUAUUAAAUCAAGACACAGCGUAAGAAACAAGAGUAGGAUGAAAUGAAGAUGACUCUGCUAACAGACUGCUUUUAUUUAAGACAGCUAAUUAAUAAUUUGAUAGAUUCAAAUCAUCUAGCAUUUUGCUUACAUUGUGAUAUGUUUCUGUUCUGCUUUGAUGUAGGCAAGUAAAUAAAAGGAUGGUUUCUACUGAGCUAAUUUCUGGAGUUGUGGUGUUAGAAUUAUUCCCAGGACAGAUUAGUCUGUUUGUAAAUAUUGUGUUUUAGUGUCUCAAUACUUUGCUGUGUCAGUAUGAAACCUCACAGAUAGCCCUCCAGGCUAGAGUGAAGUGCCCACGGAUGCAUACCUCCUCCUUGUGCCUCCUUUCCAGAACCACAGCAGGUGAGGGAGCACCCCAGGUCCCAGGCUCUUCCCUUCAGAUUUUGUACUUUUACACACCCAAACAUGAACCUUCACCCUCUUGCAGAAAGCUCUCAGCCAAAAUGAGUGCAACGCUGCAGGACCAACAAGCAUCUCCUAAUACUAACCACCACCUCGGUGCCUCUGCAGAAGGGCUGAGGUAGCUUCCCCAUGUUGCAAGAGAGCCAAAGCUGAGCAGGCAAGGCUGCUGAUGGGCACUGCGACAGCACAUGGGCAGCCCCAGCCCUCUGUCUGCCUCUGAACCCUUGUCCAGGAGCAGAGGGCAGCAACUGCAGUGCUCCCUUUCCUCUCACAGCUGGAGAGACCACAGGGCCCCAGGUCCUGACCCAGCCGGGGAAGCUGAGAUUCCCACAAGUGGAGGAGAAGGAGCAUGUCGGGAUUUUCCUGUUUGCUUUUGAAAUGCUGAUGCUGGCUAUCUGGGCGUCUCUGUGUGUGUCUGAUGGGAAGCGUGCACCAGAACUGAGGGCUCUGUGGCUUGGGUUUGUGGUGUUUGUGAGCCGAGUUUGUCAGUGGUAAGUUAUUCUUGUCAGAGCUCCAAGUAAACAGUAGACAGAUACUUACCCCUUUGAGCUGUUACAGUUUGCCAAAAAAACUAUGUCUGAACUUUGAAAUUUGUCCUUUUAUCUUCUGCCUUCCUGACCCUGCCUCUGCCAACAGCAGGGCCCUCUUGUCAGGGGAGUGUCCUCCAGGCACAGCGUAUGGAAAUGGAGGAGGGGAGUUUUCACCUCCAGAAAUCCUGUUUUGCGAGAUGAGGAUGCCUGGGUUUGUCAGAUGGAUGGCAGCAGGCAGCUCCGUGCAGUGAGGACUUGUCUGCGAGACUCUCGGUGGGGCUGAGGAUCAUUUCUCUGGGGAGAGGGGGCAGGGCAGGGACAUACACACAGUAACAGCAGCGCAGCUGAUGGGUGAUGGCUCAUUAAGCUGUCACGGCUCUAUGGUAACAGAGUGUAUGGCAUCCACAUCUAAAGCAAACACACAGGCUUUGAUCAAGUUUGCUCUUAUUAUUAUACUAGUGGAGUUCAGCCCAGCCUGGGCUCCUCUGGAGCAGGAGACUUUGCAGCUUGCAGGAUAAGCCCUGUUUCUGCUUCUACAGGGACGCUUUCAGCAGGUUUCUUGUUCCUGCGCCCAGCACCUACCCAGGGCUAAAACAGAGGGUCAGCUUCGCCAUCCUCUGAAGCUAUGUGCAGGCAGCAGCCUGGCCUUUAUCUCACAUUUUAUACCAAGACUGCCUUCAUGAGAUUCUUAGAGGCCCUACUCAAAAGUUUUAUGCAUCUCACUAUUCGGUGAGGCCUAUGUGGUCUGUGGAAGGAACAGUCUGAACAACUUCUGAUGAGCUGUUUUUGGAUGAUCCAUACACAUCUUAUGUAUGUCUGUUUACGACCAGAAUAAAAGAUAACAAACCCUACAGUGUCACACUUGUUUUCCUCUUUCGGGUAUUUAGAGGGACAAGAAAUAAAUCACAUGAAUCUAUGAGUCCUGAAUCCUGGGAUAAAAAACAUUAGCCACACUCAGAGCAUAUCACCUCUGUGCUUUGCAAAAUUAAAAACUCAGGAAAUACAUAGUAGUGCUCUAAGCCAUUUUUUUACCAUCUGCUUGAGAUGCUGCAAUAAAGGUAUUUAUUAAUAUUUAUUAAGCAAAAUACAGUUUUUCAGUAUUGGUCUUUGGAAGGGGAGGGGACUUCUGGCCUUUAGGCAUUUCAUUUUCUUUGGGGAAGGGAUGAUCCAGCUCUUCCAUUGACUUUAUACAUUUUGGAUAACGUCCAGUCAGACCUCCUGCAGCUUCUGUCUGCGUGUUUGAACAGUUAGAUCAUCUUUGGCAGCUAGUAAUAUAUUUUUGAUUUUUUUUUUUUAAUGCCAAUGUGAAUAUUGAUGUUCAGCAGGUUAUCAAAACAUGAGCAUCCAUUACUACAAAGAAACCAUUGCUGUUUACAUUUCAGAGCACAGUCUUGAAUUUCUUCUCAUCUUGAGGAACAGUGCAGGAAGUGAUGCAGGGUGAUGGAGGUUCAAAUACAUCCUUGCAGUGAGCAGGUCUGUAAAUACAGCUGUUUUAGGAAAGAAUCUUUGUGAAGGAUUGAUUUCACACUGGCUGCCCAAAUGUUGCAAGGAGUUUCACCUUUUAUAUGCCAUGCAGGUCACAUCCUUAAUAAAAGCACAGUUUUUCCUGCAACCUGUAAAGCUUAAAAUUUCUGAACUAAACACACACUUUCCGUUCUUCCUGCAACCUCCUAUGCCCAAGUGUGUGGGGUUUCUUUGUCACUGAGGUCUUUUAAUCAUGGAGCAAUUCUUAAUGUCUCCAGGUUAGCCUUCAGUCCUGGUGCUGUCCAUCUCCUGCCAUUGUCUUCUUUCUUUAAAAGGUGACCAUGUGAAGAAGCUGGCUGACAGUGAGCUGUGUAAACUGUUAAGGGAGCUGCAGUUGUAGGCCUUAGUGUAGCUCAUCGAAGUGGGACUCAACCAGCCUAAAGGGUAUGAUGAACUGAACACAUCCCAGUUCCCUGUCAUAACAUAUACUGUGUACCAUGCUGACAAGCGUUUGUUUUUAGCAUAGGUAAUCACUGAUAUGUUCUUUUAAGUGAGAUUCAUAGAUGCUGAUUACAUUUACUGCAUAAAUUACUUCAUUAUUAAAAUCAGGUCAUUUGAGCCCCAAAACCAUUAGCAUGCAAACUAUUAGCAUAAUUUCAUAAGCUAAUAAAUCAAGCACAGGAAAAGAAUUAAGCGGUUCCUAGUGAUAAGUGUUUCUUCAGAGAUUAAGAAACACAAUUUUCUUAUGCAUAUAUUAACAUUUUAAAAGUGAAUUCAUGCAAAAGCAAUUUUUCUGCAUAUAUAAAACUUAUGUUUAAUAAUCUUUAUAUUCAGCCUCCAGAGCUGUUUCAAAAUUAAUGUGUUUUUUGUUUUGUUUUUUGUUUUUUUUUAAAUCAAUGUACAGUAAUUUGACGUUGAACCAGCUAGCCUGUUUUGAUAUACUCUACCUGUAAAAAUCUUUAUGCCUUUAUUAAACAGUCAAAGCUAAGAAAUAAAAUAAGCCAAGAUAUGAUUUAGAAGAAAAAUAGCUUGGGCUCAUCUUAGAUAAUGAAAUGUUCAUCCAAGGUAAAUUUUGUACUCUUAAUCUUAAGCAGUACCAAUGAAAUUGUAAUUAUCUCCAUAAUUGCAAUCUAGAAUUGCAGUUGUCAUCUUAUUAAAAUGGUGCAUUAAAAUUGAUUUAAUUCCCAUUUCUUAUGUAAUAGAAUGUAAUAUUGGCCAGAAUAACACAGGGAUGGGCUCCUCUAUUCACUUCACUGACUAGAUUUAAAAUAAUACAGUAACACAACUGUAAUUAUUUGGAUGCUCAAAAGUUGCAUGGAAACAAUGCAAAUUCCAAUGUAAAUGAAACUGUAAUAAUCAGCAGAUGACACUACACAGGAAUUUUCUUAUGCUAUGAGGUGUCGAUGAUUUAUUAUGUUUAGUUUGUUUUGUUUUCUAGCUCCUAACCUACUGUUUUGGUCUAUUUAGCAUAUAUAUAUAUAUAUAUAUAUAUAUAUUCAGUAUGAGGCCCCCAAUGAUUUGCUCCAAGGAAUAAGAGAAUGUAAUGUUUUCAGAGUGGCACUUACCAUACUGGGGAAUUUUGGGUCUCUUGGUUCAUACAGCAAUACCACAGCUUCUGUCUUUUCUAACCGACGUGAAAAAUAGCUUUUAGUAGUUGUUUGUGCUUGCUGCUGUUUAAUGACCAACUUGACUAAGACAACACCAAGCUGAGAACUGCCUUUUUCGGGAGUGCUGGCAUGGUGCUGCCCAUCUCCCUGAGCUGGUUCACGAUGUGGCCAGCCAAGGACCACAGCUGGCACAAGGGAGGUGGAGAUGGCAUGCAAGAGGGGAAGUGCAGGGACAACCCUUUUCAUGGCAGCUGGUUAUUUUAUCAGUUUUGCUGCAAUUUGAAGCCACAGCCACCGCCACAUCAGAAAUGGUGGUGUCCCAAGUGCAUCAGUAGAAUCACUGAAUCAUAGAAUCAUAGAAUGGUCUGGGUUGAGAAGGACCUUAAAUAUCAUCUAGUUUCAACCCCCCUGCUCUGAGCAGGGUUGCCAACC
Non-coding RNA from Anas platyrhynchos (mallard), 7748 nucleotides. Lineage: Eukaryota; Metazoa; Chordata; Aves; Anseriformes; Anatidae. The record is from RefSeq and is a predicted model, not a curated record.